UAGAUUUAAAGUGGACUCAUUCCAAUUACAGGGCCUCGAAAGAGUCCUGUAUUGUUAUUUUUCGUCACUACCUCCCCGGGUCGGGAGUGGGUAAUUUGCGCGCCUGCUGCCUUCCUUGGAUGUGGUAGCCGUUUCUCAGGCUCCCUCUCCGGAAUCGAACCCUGAUUCCCCGUCACCCGUGGUCACCAUGGUAGGCACGGCGACUACCAUCGAAAGUUGAUAGGGCAGACGUUCGAAUGGGUCGUCGCCGCCACGGGGGGCGUGCGAUCAGCCCGAGGUUAUCUAGAGUCACCAAAGCCGCCGGCGCCCGCCCCCCGGCCGGGGCCGGAGAGGGGCUGACCGGGUUGGUUUUGAUCUGAUAAAUGCACGCAUCCCCCCCGCGAAGGGGGUCAGCGCCCGUCGGCAUGUAUUAGCUCUAGAAUUACCACAGUUAUCCAAGUAGGAGAGGAGCGAGCGACCAAAGGAACCAUAACUGAUUUAAUGAGCCAUUCGCAGUUUCACUGUACCGGCCGUGCGUACUUAGACAUGCAUGGCUUAAUCUUUGAGACAAGCAUAUGCUACUGGCAGGAUCAACCAGGACGGG
This 583-nucleotide long non-coding RNA is filed under the name Homo sapiens (human). RNAcentral describes it as "non-protein coding lnc-KCNE1B-3:3". Lineage: Eukaryota; Metazoa; Chordata; Mammalia; Primates; Hominidae. The record is from RNAcentral.